Molecule: ribosomal RNA, 159 nt
Filed under: Mucor indicus
Lineage: Eukaryota; Fungi; Mucoromycota; Mucoromycetes; Mucorales; Mucoraceae
Description: partial 5.8S ribosomal RNA
Rfam family: 5.8S ribosomal RNA (bases 1-104)
About the family: 5.8S ribosomal RNA (5.8S rRNA) is a component of the large subunit of the eukaryotic ribosome. It is transcribed by RNA polymerase I as part of the 45S precursor that also contains 18S and 28S rRNA. Functionally, it is thought that 5.8S rRNA may be involved in ribosome translocation.
Source: RNAcentral
AAAGUGCGAUAACUAGUGUGAAUUGCAUAUUCAGUGAAUCAUCGAGUCUUUGAACGCAUCUUGCACUCAAUGGUAUUCCAUUGAGUACGCCUGUUUCAGUAUCAAAAACAACCCUUAUUCAAAAUUCUUUUUUUGAAUAGAUAUGAGUGUAGCAACCUU